ACAUAUUAUUUGGAGGAUGAGGAGUUGAAAAUAUAUUCAUUCAGCCAAUACUCGAGUGGCUACUGAGAACUUAUUACAGAUGCCUAAGGAGUUGAUAACCAUACAUAUGAUCAUCAUCAAGGGCCCGAGAAAAUCACAUGGCUCCAGUGAAUUCUAGUCAUUAACAAGACCUGGACAACCUCUAUACUACUGCAGGAAGCAACCCCUGGAUGUACAUUUCUCCUAGGUCAGCUGGGUCCCGAAGCAGCUGAUCCUCCUUCUGAUGAAUCAGAGAUGGUCAAUUGUUACCUAACGCUGUAUCACUGCGCGGACCCGCUGCGUCUCCUCAUGUGGGCAUUUUAUCACCUGGCAACAUCUCAAGAAGUGGGUUAAGGAAAAGGAAGCUUUCUCUUCUUCUGAAUGCUCUGGCAUGUGGGGAUAAGCCCUGAAACUGCUGCAGUCUUUUGCCACCACUAUGUGGGUCAGACUGAAGAAGAUGCCAAUAUAGAAAGGAGAUUUGUAACAGGAAAAUGUCAGAGAAACUGAGCUACUGGAGACCAGAUUAAUCUACUUAGAAGCCCACACUACACCUGAAUGGGUCAGUUUCCUGAGUCAGUAAACUCUCCACGUUAAGUCACAUUGUAUUAGCUUUUUAUAUUUUAUUUGAAAAUCAGUUCAUGCUAAUUGGUACUUAUAUUCCAGCUGAUCCUUAGCAAUAUAUUUGCAUUAGGUAAUUCGUAGGAAAUAUAACACAGAAGGGCACAGACUGUAUUUUUAUGUUUCAAGAGUAAGUUUUGAGGGUCACACUGAGAAGAAACUAUAGACUUUAUUCUAGUGCUCCAUUCUUGUAUUUGUGAGUGUCUGGGAGUGUGUGUGUGAGAAAGAGAGAGAUUCAGAGGAAGCAAUACUAUCAGUCGCAAUUUAUUCUUAAAAUAUAUAUAUAUAUUCCUUGAGAAGUUGGUAACCUAAUUCUAAGGAAUAAAAUAUUUGAGGUCAGUGGCUCAAAUGAUGUUCCAGAAAUGAUUGUGCGAAGAAUCAAUUAACUGGAUGAUUAUUUAUAAAAUGAAGCUUUUGAGCUAUAAAAUACUUGUGAGUAUUAUUUUGUAAAUAUUUUGGUUCAGGAAAUUAUUUUCUUACUUUUAAAUUUCUGCUGUCUGCAAAAGAACAAUAGCUUUUUAAGCAGGGGGAGUGACUGAUAGGGAGUCUAUUUCUUUGACUUUUUUUUUUUUCUCUUGGAAAAAGGCAUUCAACCCCAGGCCAAACACUUCAGAUUUUUAUGAGUUGUAAAAAUACUUUGUAACUGAAGGGUACCAGUGUAGGCUUGGGGGAAGGAAAAAAGGAGGAGGAGUAGAAAUGCAUUCUAAAUGUGGUUGACUACUGCUAUGGGUUCCUGCUAAACAUUAGUAUGUUGUCCAUAAAUUCAGGUUUUCAAUGUUUUAAAAUAUAAUGUUACUUUAUAUAAUUAUAUAUAUAUAAUUAUAUAUAAUAUAUAAUUUUAUUAACAUAACAUAUUUUAAAAUAUAAUAUUAUUAUUUUAGAAAAUGUUCUUAGGGCUUUUAAUGGUGAUCAUGGGGCAUGUUCUAAAUUUGGA
Molecule: long non-coding RNA, 1570 nt
Organism: Felis catus (domestic cat)
Lineage: Eukaryota; Metazoa; Chordata; Mammalia; Carnivora; Felidae
Exons: 3
Source: RefSeq, a predicted model, not a curated record